CUGCUGCCUCCCGUAGGAGUUUGGUCCGUGUCCCAGUACCAAUGUGGGGGGUUAACCUCUCAGUCCCCCUAUGUAUCGUCGCCUUGGUAAGCCGUUACCUUACCAACCAGCUAAUACAACGCAUGCCCAUCUGUAACCGCCGAAACUUUCAACCACAAGAGAUGCCUCUCAUAGUGUUAUGCGGUAUUAGUACCGAUUUCUCAGUGUUAUCCCCCUGUUACAGGUAGGUUGCAUACGCGUUACGCACCCGUGCGCCGGUCGCCAU
This 265-nucleotide ribosomal RNA is filed under the name uncultured bacterium. RNAcentral describes it as "partial 16S ribosomal RNA". The record is from RNAcentral.